AAAAGUAGUUCGGUCCGAUAUUAAAAAGGCUAUUCAAUCUUGAUGUACGUUAUCUCUAAAUCUCGAUUGUAUCUUCAAACGAACGUUCAAAGUAAUUGUAUAGUAUUGGCGAUAAGAGUGAUACCGUGUUACGCGUCGAGAUUAUUAUUAGAAUUAAGCUCGUAUUACAAACGUUGAAUUUAGCACGCAUAUAGAAAUAUUCUUAACUCGCAAGGAAACGCGAUACCUCUCCCUCUCUCUUUCUCUCUCUCUCUCCAUCUUGUGAGUUACGUAAUUUCGAUAACGCGUCGUAAUUCGAAUAGCAAAUACAACUGCAUCGUAUUAGAAGAUGUAAACCACGGACGCGGGGAUCGUGACGUAACUAUAUUACGAGCCCGAGAGUUGCUCGAUCGCUGCCGAUAAAACAGAACGUGUCGCGGUCUCGAUUCCGUACGAACGACACGUACGAUACGAUGUAUUUCGCUUUACCGCGCUGGUUCAGCGUUUAUUCGUCCGAGCCGUGAAAUGAACGUGUUCUGUCCUCGUGGUGUUAAAGACAGGAGCGAAGAAGAUGAGUAAAUAAGGCUGCGACAGCUGCGAGUGUAGCAGGCAGAAACUACGCGGCGGUUCACGGAUCCCAUAAAUCUAAUCUAAUAGAUGACGUGAACAUUUUCAAAAAUCCGCGUAACUGUCGCUGGUUAACGAUGAGUCGUCACGGUUCUCGAAGGAGAGAUCUUCACGAUCGCGUGCAUCCGUUUGGAUGAUCGAAGUACGAUCGCAUAGGAAAUCGGAGAGAUCGCAUGGUAACGUGGUGCGCGUAUCGGUUUUCGUCACGGUCGGCGGAGGCACUCGUUUUAAAUUUUCUUAAAGACAACGCGGGGCAAGGAGACGCGACAACGACGACGACGAGGCUCGCGACAGAGGAGCAUGGAACGCGCACAGAGAACAGUUGUUCGCAUAUGCCAACAAAUUGUCCAGCGAACAUAGAGAAGGAGUGAUGGGCAGUAAGAGCAAGGGGAACACGGAGCCACGCCGAUUGCAACGUGACCGCGUCCCCGCGUACCUUUUCAUUGGCCAACACCGUCACGUGGUCCGCGAGUCACGUUGCAGCCGCCGUGGUUCUUACAUGACUGAUGUAACGAUUGAACGAAGGUGCUGUAAUUACGCGUUCACUCCUCGAUCACGAAUUUAACGACGGGGCUUUCACCGCCGAACGUUUUUAGCGAAAUCGAUAGCGUGAGCGACGAUUGACGAUGGACGAGUCCCGGAUUCGGACGUUCAAUUUUAAUUUAGACACCGACACUAAUUUAAUUAAAUACCGGAACGAGAUGAAAGGAAACACAAGUUUCACCCACUCGGAUCGUCCCUCCUUCAUCUUCUAGUCUCGAACUACGUUCCUCGCCACACUUCGUUUAAUAAUACUUAUUCCCCGACGAUAUCGUGUACUGUAGUCAAUCUAUUCGUAGAUAUUUUCUUUAUACAUUCGUAAAUCUUAUAGAUUACUUAGUUCCAUCCAUACUCGAUAUUGUAAUUUCAAUCGCGGUUAGUCGUGUAUCGCUCAGCGUGCGCGAUAAUACAAUUAAUCGUAAGUAUCUAUAAACCAUGUAAAAAAAGUGAAGGACUAUCGCUAUUGACGGAAUAAGAAAUAAACCUAAACGUUAUCAUGUCUGGCGGACGAUUCUCAUCGUCGCAGCGUUAUGCAAAUCCGAAGCUGGAUCAAGCACUGUAUCACUGCUCACAGUCUCUCCUUCGCGAUUUUCCACGUAUUAACGGUAGUUGGUACGUAAUUAUAAGCGGACAAUCUAUAGUCGAGUAGCAAUCAACAGACCAUGCGUUUACAGUCUCCUGAAGCAAAACAUGGCUCAUGGGUUCGUUUCAACGAUGUCUUAUGUGAUAACGCUAUUUCAUUGAUAAUGCAUUAACGUAGAAUGAAAUACGAUGAGUAAAUGAGAGAAAAUAGAUUGUAUAUUAACGACAUGAUUCUAAUUAUGUAUAAAGUCAGCUUGUUUAGGGUUUACAAGUCUUGAUCGAAAACUGAUCAAACGAAUUUGAUUUGAUGAGAACGUUACCAUCCUCUGUGAGUUCUGUAGGGCCGUCUGCAUGAAAAGUGUAUAUGCUAGUCGAAGCUAAGAGGAAUUGCGUGUUCCAAAUGACGUAAAAGAUAGAAAGAAACGUUUGGUAGUAGAAACGUGUACGUCAUCGGAUGAUGAAAGAAACGGGAAGCGCUGAAAGCGUAGGACUCUUCUGACUUAGUUAAAAUUCGUUUGUAUGAAAUACAGUAGACGAUCGCCGUUGUACAAAGUGUUACGCAUAAAAAAAUGUUUUUCUAAAACGUAUACAGAUCUCAGUUGCACGUCAGCUGAAACUUCCGUCUCCCAGGAUCGAUAUCUAUGCCCUCCUCGUAAAAUAAGUGGGUGUUCAAUUACGCAUUUAACAUAUUUUAUUAGAAAACGCGAUAACAGUAUCUACUACAGUAUAUAUAUUGUUCUUUAGACAUAGUAACUCGUUUUAAAGCUAUGAUUUUAAUCUCAAGAAUCCCCACGCUUUUUGUAUCAGUCAAAUGCGUCUCCCGCUAACUAUGUAGUAUUAUAUGCACAAUUUGAAGAGCGAAAAGGCAAUAAAAUUGGUAAGUUACUCUUCGGGACAAGACCGUUUCUAAAAGAGACUCGUUCAAAGACUCGUUUACUUAGUGAUCGCGUUCAACAGUGAUUCGUUAACAUCGAACGUAAAUAAAGACGUUCAUAAAACAUUUGUUUAAGCGCAUUGAAAAAUCUCUUAUUCCUUUUCACGGUCACAUUAAUUACAUCCAGGAACGUCCAUUUGGA
Long non-coding RNA from Ceratina calcarata, 2804 nucleotides. RefSeq lists it as uncharacterized. The transcript is spliced from 6 exons. The record is from RefSeq and is a predicted model, not a curated record. NCBI's taxonomy places the organism in Eukaryota, Metazoa, Arthropoda, Insecta, Hymenoptera, Apidae.